CCACCGAAAGGUGGUCUAAUACUUCAUAAUAUCCAUCUCGUAUGGAUUAAAGCUUUAUGCGCUUUGGGAGGGGCCUGCGUAACAUUAGCUUGUUGGUGAGGUAAAAGCUCACCAAGGCUUCGAUGUUUAACUGGUUGAGAGGAUGACCAGUCACACUGGGACUGAGAUACGGCCCAGACUCCUACGGGAGGCAGCAGUAAGGAAUCUUCCACAAUGGGGGCAACCCUGAUGGAGCAAUACCGCGUGCAGGAUGAAGCGUUUCGGCGUGUAAACUGCUUUUAUCACCGAAGAUUAUGACUGUAGGUGAAGAAUAAGGACCGGCUAACUACGUG
This 332-nucleotide ribosomal RNA is filed under the name uncultured bacterium. RNAcentral describes it as "bacterial SSU rRNA". It matches the Rfam family "Bacterial small subunit ribosomal RNA", at positions 148 to 507 of the family's 1533-position model. The record is from RNAcentral.